AUUUUUCAUUAUUGACUUUGUCAUGUAUAUGCCCAUGAAUUUCAUAAUCUGACUGUAAGUGUAAAAUGCAUAGUCAUGUAUGUCACAUAAAUAAAUAUAUUGAGAUUGUUGUGUAAAUGAUGUGUCAAAUAUUGUGUUUAUUAAAGUUGCAUAAAUAACUUUUUAACUUUCAGAUUGUUGAGUUAAAAAUAUAUAUGCUAUCCUGUUUAUAUUUAUUAAAUAGUUUUAAACACCAAGAUUUCUUCAUUUAUUAACAAUGCUAUUUUAAAUAAAAAAUAUGCAAAAACACGGUUUUGAGUAAUAAACGAUUUCACACACUACGCAUGUCAACAUACACAUCAGAAGGUAAAAUAUUCAAUAAAAUGAUCUAGUCUACUAAAUUAUUCCUUUCUUCCUAAAUUGGUGUUUGCUCACACCUAAUAAAUUGGACAUAAUAGUUGCAUUAAUUGCUACUUAUAAUAAGGUUGACGAACUGUAAAAAUAUGUUGACGAAACAACUACCCAUUUUGUACUAUAAAAUAAGGAAGACGAAAUGGUAAGGUGACGAAACAUCCGGUACCCCAUGAAUGAAGCGCCCGUAUGUAAACAACCGAUACUGGCGAUAGCGACUUUCAUUCAGCUACCAACAUGAUCAAAAGAAAUGUUUCUACCAGUUACUCUUGAGUCACCUCCAAGCAUUCCCUUAUCCCAAAUUGAUAUUAAAGAUGUUGAUGAGCCUGAUCCGUCGAUUCAAAUACCAUAAAGCCAACCAAAAAAAAACAACAGCAAACAAGUGAGCAAGCUGACAAAGCUGCAACUUCAGGGAGCAAUUAUAAGGGUCAUCAAGAUGGAGCCAGGUUUCAUGAUGCUCGUAUUAGAGGUGCUGGACCAGAGUCUGAGGAAGGGAGUAGAACUCCAAGCUGGUUUGAGUGUGCUUCAACUGCCGGGACAUUUCAAUGCAGAGUUAAAAAGUUUGUUGUGGCCGGGAGGCCCGUCUUUCUCAAACUGCUGUAAGAACCUUAUAGAAACUAAAAUUCAGUAUAGAUCUAAGACAUGAGUGUACCUAAAUGUUAAAUGAAGUUGAUAUUUAUGAACAAUUUUAUAACAUUUCAUGUGAAUUUAAAAGCUGGUUUUACAUUAUUUAAUACUGCUAAUGAGUUCUUGAAAAUUUGUACUGAAAAAUGGAUACUUGACAACUCAUUUGCAUGUUUGUACUUCAUAGGAAGUUUAGUGUUGUAUUUUUCUAAAAAAAUAUGGUUUUAAACAUCUUAACAUGCAUGUAGUCACACACAGGCAGACCAAGUUGAAUUGUUGGCAUGUAUGAAAUAUGGGCAGUGUUAUUUUAUAAACAUUUAAAAGCUAUUUUAUAUGCUGGCAAAGUUUGUAUCUACUAAGUUAUUAAAAGCACUCCUGUUUAGGUGAGUGCUGAGAACUUUCUUGAACAUUCGUACUGAAGUAAGUAUGACUUAAGGUAGCACAUCACUGGAUAUUUCUUAUUUUUAAUCUUAGUAUCUGUGAAUUAUGCUACAUACAUGCCAUAUUUUCUGGAGACCAUUCAGGGGGAUUUGUUCAAAAGGCUGAAAAUUCAGGGGGAUUUUGGUUGUAUUCAGGGGGAUUUUUUUAGCAGGUCUAAGUUGGCGAAAUUUUAAAGUAUUUUUAGACGCAAGUAUGAAAAAAUGUAUUCACAUAUAGUUUGCUUUGAAAACCUCUUAACUUUUUCAUUAUACAGAAUUAUUUUAUGUCAUGAUUUAUCAUAUUUUUAUGAUAAACUGUCAUGUCAUACUGUAAUGCACUUGCAAAACAAAAUAUGUCAUUGGAAAAAUAUGUUUUCGAGACAAUUAAAUUAAAUUUACCUUCCUCCAAAGUCUUUUAAAAAAUUGUGCUUAAUUCUAUCAGCUUUGAUGACUUUCAGACAAUAAGAGAAUAGAAUAAAUAUUAUUAAUUUCUUCCUUCCAAAAGAGUAAUAUUUCUUUGCCUUUGAUAAUUACUACAAAUUAAUUGAUCACUUGUUGUAAAAGUUUACUUUUGGAGAGUUUCACUCACAUACUGUGGUUUGACUUUGUCAUUAUUGCCUGAUGUAAAAUUGAAUAUUUUUUUUAUUUUAUUUUUUUAAAUUCCGGGGGAUUUUUAUCUCCCGCUGGGAGACCAGGGGAUGGAUCGAAAUUCCGGGGGAUUUUUCCCCCCGCCGGGGGAUAUGGCAUGUAUGAUGCUACUGGCUUUUGAUAAACCUUCCCUCUUUCAGGACUCUGACCUCCUUGUAUUGAAUGAAGAGGUUCUAACCCUUGCCCAUUUGAUGAGGCAGGAUUUCUUGUGUUCAUUGAUGAGGAGGACCAGGUGCAACCCAACCGCUACUAGGCGACUUAUAUUGUGUUCUGACACAGAGUUAUUUUUGGGCUGGUGACAAGAGGGCUAUUCCCUUAUGUUGUGUAGAGAGUCCAGGAAACCUUCCCGAUUCCCUAAGAACAAUACACUGGCCUUGUGCAAAGGAGGGUUCAGUAGAUGAACACAAUUUUUGCAGACGGAUCGUAUCUGUUCUCUUGAUUUUCUUAAAUAUUAAAAUAUGAUAUAAACAAUAUUAGGUCAUUUUUGUAUACCGGUACUUUUGUGAAUGACUUGUUAUUUUAUAAAUACUGAUUUGUAUUGCUAAUCUGUCAUUAAGUAAUUAUCUCGUUUCAAUUUGAAAGCCAGAAAACCUGCAUGUUAUGUAUACUCAUGUUAUUGUUUAUAUUUAUGCCCCCUCCGAGGAAGAGGGGUAUAUUGCAUUGCACAUGUUGGUCGGACGAUUCGCAGCUUUGUUGGUAGACCAAAGCUUGUCUAAGUGAUAACUCAACAACUGAAGGACAGAUGGUUAUCAAACUUGACAUGAAUGUUGGGCCUGACCAGUAGAUAACCCCUAUUGAUUUAAGGGGUCAGCAGGUCCAAGUUCAAGAUCACAGUGACCUUUAGUGGUAUAAAGUUGUUAAAGUUUGUCCGAGAAAUAACUCAAAAAUACCUGAACGUACGGUAUGGUUAUCAAAUUUGACAUGGAGGCUGGGCCUGAUUAGUAGAUGACCCCUAUUGAUUUUAGGAGUCAUUGGGCCAAUGGUAACAGUCACAGUGACCUUUAAGUUGAAAAGGUUAACAAAGAUUCUCUGAGUGAUAUCACAACAAUGUCUGGCCCUAUGAUCAUCAAACUUGACAUUGAGGCUGGGUAUGACCAUAACUGAUUUAAGGAGUCAUUGGCCCUAAGUGACGAAAGUGCGUAAAGAAUGAACGGGUGAUAAUUCAACAAUGCCUGCACCCAUGGCUCUCAAACAUGAUAAGGGAAUUUGGCUUUACCAGUAGAUGGUUCAUUUUGAUAUCAGGGGUAAUCAGGUCAAAGGUAAAGGUUACAGUGACCUUGAAAGCAUAUUCGUGUGAUUUCUUGACAAUGCCUGCACCCAUGGUUCUCAAACUUGCCAUCUAGGUUGGGGGUGACCAGUUGAUGAUCUUAUAGAUCUUGAAGUCAGAGGUCAACCUAUAUGCAUGAUUAAGUAUUUUGUCAUAUUUACUUAUUUCCUGCUGCUGAAAGGAUAUAUAUUUUUAUCUGCAAAUAUCAGUCAUCAUCUGAACAUGAUUUAGAACUUUACAUACUAUCCUCACACGGUCAUAAUCUUAAAACUGCCGCAAAGGCAUCUAAUGUCAAUGACAAGUCAGCUGUCAUUUCAGUCUUUGCAUAUUUAAUUCAAUUUGCAGAAUAAGCCUGACAACUUGGCGCUCCUCAAGGGGAGGGGGUUCAUAUGUUUGACAAACAUCUCUUGUUUUUCUGUUUAAAAGCGCUUUCAAAUGACACUCAAGCAAUAUGUCUGUUUGAAUCCAAAUUUCACAUUUUAUCUUUAAAAUGUGUCAUACCUUUCUCAACCUUGUUUAGAAAUAAUGAAAUGGACCUAAAGCAGGCUCAAUUUUGAUACAGCCCAUUUCUUAAGUAGAACAAAGAUUAAUGCAAUAAACCACUUUCCCACAAAGAAGUAAAUAACUGAAAUAAAACCAUGAAGAUCCCA
Long non-coding RNA from Mya arenaria, 3998 nucleotides. RefSeq lists it as uncharacterized. NCBI's taxonomy places the organism in Eukaryota, Metazoa, Mollusca, Bivalvia, Myida, Myidae. The record is from RefSeq and is a predicted model, not a curated record. The transcript is spliced from 3 exons.